Long non-coding RNA from Oreochromis aureus, 4990 nucleotides. NCBI's taxonomy places the organism in Eukaryota, Metazoa, Chordata, Actinopteri, Cichliformes, Cichlidae. The record is from Ensembl.
UGGAGAGAGAAAGUGAGGUGCUGAAUAAAGAGAAAAUGGAUUUGAAGCUGUUGAUGUCUGACAUGAAGAAACAAUUUGAAAUAUUGGAAGAAAAGAGACAAAAUGUAAAAGAAGAGAGAGACUCAAUGGAAAUCCUGAAGCUUGAACUGCUCAAUAAGAUGGAACAUGUAAAAAGGCUGUUAAAUGAGGCAAAUAAAGAAAAAGCCAAUAUUAAAGUUUGUAUCCUUCAGGUUCAAACGGAAAAAGAAAGACUUGAAGACAUUUUAAGCAAGAUUUUCUUAAUACAUAGUGAACAAAAAGUCAAGGAAGAUGACCUCAGAAGACCAACAAAAGAACUGGAAAUGAUGAAGAAGCAAUCACAGAGUGAAAGAGAAAAAGUGGAGAGUCUGAUGAGGAAUCUCAACAAGAAGCAAGAAGAGCUUGAACGUGCAAAGGAAAUCAUGAGUGAAGAAAAAGAAGCGGUGAAACAGAUGAAGACUGACAUUGCCAAAGAACGAGAACUGUUGUUGAAGGAAAGGAGAAAUAUGGAAGAAGAGCGGUCUGAGAUGGAAAUGAGAGGAGACCAAGUCAUGGAUGAAAUGAAAUCACUAGAGACUCUGAAAGUGAAACUAGUUGCGAGGAAAUCUCUGGAAGGUCAAAUGUCUUAUGUACAAGUCAGAGAGGACAUCCUCAGUAGCGUUAGAAACUCCACAAGAGUCUUGAUAGGAAAACUAAAUAGGCUGCUUCAUCAAGCCUUACCGACAUAUAUUAACAGAUUAGAGGAGAAAAAUGAAAAAAUAUUACAACUAAUCUCUACAUAUGAACACAAUUGUGUCAGAAUUCAUAAGCAGAAAAUUAAAAUAACUGCAGAUUAUGACAAGAUACAACAACAAAAGAAACAUGUGUUAAAAAUAACAUUUGACAAAGCAAUCCAAACUGAAGAUGUUGUAAAAGAAUGCUUACAUGGGCAUCAGGCUGAAGAGACUAAUGAACAUGAAUUUGAGCAGAGGAAGAAGGAUGUUACAGGUAAUCUUGAAGGAAGCAACAGAUACUUGACACCUGACAAGGAAGGUCUGCUGUUAGUAGCAGAAGGUGAAGAAUUUGAAAAUGUCAAGAAAAGAAAACUUGCAACGUUGUCAAUCUUGUCAGCAGGGGACGAUGACUUCACACAGAAGGGAAUUUUAAAAACUGAGUUUUUGAAACAAAUCUGGAAGGACACUAGAAUUGAACGAAAGGAGAUCAAUCAGAUGAAGCUCAGAGGUCAAAAAAUGAGAAACAAUCUGGAUAAAAGAGUAAAGGUGCUCAAUCAGUUUGUUAGGAGAUCAAUAUUACAGAAAGAAAAGACAUCAGUUGAGAAAACAAGAAAAAUGUUGGAACAUGGGCAAAGUAAGAAGUUUUUAUCUGAAAGUGGCAGGGAUGGAGAUCACAAAUCACUUGAUGAAAAAUAUACCGAGCUCCAACAACUUAAGGUCCACAUGCUUAGUGAGAUUGAGAAAUUCCACAUACAAAACAAAGCAUCUAAGACACUGACAACUAGCAACAAAGCUAAUCAAACAGUUCAACUAGAUUCUCCAAAUAUCUAUCAAGAGCAAAUGAAGGUAGAAGAAUCUGAAGCAGCACCAGAGAGAUCUCCUGGACUCCUCUGUCAUCUCCGACUUUCCUGCUAUCGCUGUUGCUCCCGUUAUUGUGCCUGCUGCAAGCAAGGGUGUCCAAAGAAAAAAUGAGAGGCAAGAAAAGUGCUAAAUAAAAAUCAGUCCAUUCACCAUUUGUUUUACUUUUUAGUUAUAUUAAUAUGUGUGUAUUUGGAAAAUGUAUUUUUCCUGUUAAUCAUCAUAACCUAACAACGUAAGAGUACCAGUAUGAUGUCAAUCAUCUAAUUUUUAAACAACUAGUUAUGUAAUGUAAAACUAUUCUUUUAUCAUGUGAUUUUUUUUUCACAAAUGCUGAAUAUUAAAUAAAUGUUAAAAAUUUCCAGCACGGUGGCAUGGUGGUUAGCACUGUUGCCGCACAGCAAGAAGGUCCUGAGUUCAAUUCCACCAUCAGGCCGGGGUCUUUCUGUGUGGAGUUUGCAUGUUCUCCCCGUGUUUGCGUGGGUUCCCUCCGGGUACUCCGGCUUCCUCCCACCGUCCAAAGACAUGCAGUUUGAGGGGAUAGGUUAAUUGGAUAAUCCAAAUUGUCACUAGGUGUGAAUGUGUGAGUGAAUGUGAGCGUGAAUGGUUGUCUGUCCCUGUGUGUUGGCCCUGCGACAGACUGGCGACCUGUCCAGGGUGUACCCCGCCUCUCGCCCUAUGACAGCUGGGAUAGGCUCCAGCGCCCCCCGCGACCUUGGAAAGGAUAAGCGGAAGCGAAUGGAUGGAUGGAAAUUUCCAGUGAAUCUAUAUUAUCUAAGUGUAACAGAUAAUCUUAACAUUUUUAAUUACAUUUUUAUGCUGAUUUUUAAUUUAUCUUCUUUCAAGAUAUUUAUUCUGUUGUCUUGUAUUAGAAUAAAGAAACACAAAGAAUACAGUAAAAUCAAAGCUAACAAGAAUAUUUGAAAAACUGUGACUCCAUAUAUAUUCAUAUUUAACCUCCUAGGACCUGGCGUCCACAUAUGUGAACAUCAUAUUUUGGGUUGUCCAAACCACAAUACUAAAUUUCCUCCAUAAGUGCCUGAUAUCACUUACGAGGACAUUAUACUGCCGCUGUUCUAUCAAAAUGUAAAACAAAUGUCCUCAUAUGUGUAUAUCCAGCCCUUGUAGAGCAAAAUCAGGUAAAAAGAUAAUUCUUUGUUGGUGCAUUCAUCAGGUCCCAAUCAGCCCAAAUAGCAAAGAGAAAUUAAAAAUGCAUGCCAUGAAAGAUUUUGGGUCUUAGGAGGUUAAAUGAAAGAAAAAUGCAUGUUUAACAUAAAUUUUAUCCCUGAAUAAAUCUUUUUCCAAAACCAUUCACAUCACUGCAAUAUUUUUCUUUUGGUAAAUUUUUAAAUAUAUAAGAACCCAAUUGUUUGAAACAUUAUUUAUAUUAAUUACACAGUUACAUGUAAAUUGAACCAUUUAAUAUAAAACCCAUGCCAUGCAUUUGGCUUCAUUGGGGUAUAUCAUGUACACAUACAUGUCAUAUAUUCCUGUGAACCCUUUGCGUUGGUAGUAUGGACCUGGAAAGUGUAGACAAAAUAAGCAACACUUGAUUCUGUAACUCGCCUGAUUCUUCAAUACAAUUUUUUAUUGUAUUUUUAGUGAAAUGAUUUUCUUCAUAAUAUUUAGAAAAUCAUUAUUAGAAUUCAGAAUCUUUUUUCGAAAGAUUUUAGAAAGUUCUUUAAAUCUUGGGAAAGAUGACCAAUAAGACAACAGGCCUAGUUAGAUCUUUAAAUAAACCCAGCUCACUUGUUGAUCCAUCCAACAAGGUUAUAAUGGUUGACAUCCUAUCUGAAGCCGAGAUUCUAAUAUUUAAUCCUUUAGGUCAGUGGUUCUCAAACUUUUCACAAUGAGUACCACCUUAUAAAAUAUAUGGCUCUUAAAGUACCACCCUUAUGCCGACAUUAAAGUACAGUAGUAUAGGCCUAUUUAACACCAUAUACAGUUUACAGGAGACUAUUUUAUUUAUUAUAUGGAUGUUAUUAUUUUAACUGUCAUAAACAGGAUGUGACAAGUGAUAAUAAUAACAACUGUACUGCAUUAAAACAUUCACAGCAGGUGGGAUAUCCGGUCUUUAAGUGAUGACGUAUGAACCCUGCUUCCGGGUCCAAACUACUCUGUAUUUAUUAAGGCUGUUGUGUUUUUAACAUGUUUUAAUGCUUUGUAUCUUGUUCUAUUUCAUCUAAACAAGCCCCUAAAAAAAGUCAGUGAUCACUGUCGGCCUCUCUUGGUUUUUAUUAUCACUAUUCAUUUUAAAGCUCAGUUUUUAAAACCUUACGAUGCAAAUACAGCCCAGCCCAUGCAGCAAUAUAUUAAUGACUAACCUCGUAUUGUGGAUGGAUUAUCUCAGUUGUUAGUGAGUGAUAGCAGAUUUUUUCAGAAAUCCCUUCAGAAAUCAAUUUUUCAGAAAUCCCUCAAUCAGAACAUGGUAUAUUGUUUAAUCUUAAAAAUUUUUUUUGGAGACUUCCCGUGUACCAGUUGACUGCUAUAAGUCAACUGGGACCAUUCUGUGUAGUGUUUUUAUGCUCUCCCAGUGGCUGUGUGAGUUUCUUUUGAGUUACUUUAGCUUCCUCCAACUGUCCAAAGAUGUGCUUGCUAGCUUACAUGGUGAUUUGAUACCUACAUGCACUGUAGGUGUGGAUGUCACAUGCUUAGCUGUCUGUACUGGCAUUGCGAUGUUCUGGUGACCUGGUUGUAUCAGGUUGUACCCUGAUACAGCUGUGAGAGCUGUGACAGGCUCAAGUCUUGUGACCUCAAGUUGGAUAAGCAGUUAAAAAAUGGAUAGAUGGGAUAUUGCUACUUAGUUGACCAUCUAUGUCUGAAUAUGUGGGUUUUAUCUGUAUGCAGAAGGAUAAUAAGUUGAAACAGUCAACGGUUUUAGAUGACAGCAGUGAAUGGACCAAGUGAGUUGGUUUUUAAAAGUGAAGAGGAGCUUGUUUGUGACUAGAUGUUUUCUAAGCACUCAGUGUUUGCUUAAAAAUUCUGAUAAAGAUUUUCCCCAGCUCAUGACUGUCAAAUGUAAGAAAAAGAAAAAUCAUGAAGUUGCUACACAAAAAAAUGUUAACUUAUUUUAAAAAUAUUCUUCUACAACUGCUUUCUGCUUCUUAUAAAAUAUAUAAAUAUAGAAGAGUUAAAUCCAAGUUAAAUUCAGUUUCUUGUCUCAUUUGUCCCUUGUCCCUUGCAACAGUUUGACCCAAACAGACUCCUCGACUCUGCGUUGUGUUGUGUUUUUAAGAAGACAAGGAGUCUCUGAUCGAUCGUUGCCACUUUAUUUCCUGAAUGGAAACAACGGUGUUGUAUCAGUACAAAGGGCUCGCCACACACCACUCCGCACAGCCAGUAGCGGUUUUAGAUACGGGCGACACGGGCGGUUGCCCGGGGCGGCAUCGUGGUGGGGGCGG